AAUAGACCUUUUUCGCAAAAACCGGAAACACGUCAGCAACGUGUAAACUUAGUUCCGGUUUGUGCUUCGCUGGCGGAGAAUGGCAGAGCCUAGAGUGUUUUCGAAGAGUCUGAGUUGUGUUCCGAAGGUCAUCAGCGCCGAUGUGAUGAAUAGUGUGAAGAUGCAUUCGUCCACUAAAGGAAACAAAUUGGACAAGGGAUAUAAUUUCGUCCACGAAGAGUUUAUCCACCAUUACCAAGAUAUCACUGGAUGCAGAAAGUGCCAACCUGAAAGCUUUCUCCUGCAGUUGUGCGGCUGCUAAAGGAUUCUGCAAUCACAUAGUUGCCAUCCUGUUCCAGAGCGCACAUUAUUCACAGCUGGGUCUGCAGGCUGCUCCCCCCCCCUGGCCUGCACCAGUGGCUUGCAAAGAUGGCACAGACCAAGAGCACAGGGAAUCCAUCCUGAACCGGUUAGUGAGCUGGUGGUGCAAAAGCCCAAAACAGUUGGCAGGGACGGUCUGAGGUCCACGCUGUACAAGGCAUAUACAGGACCACAGCCAGAUCCAUAUAUGAUGGCAUCUGGAAGCAGAUUAUGCCAGG
Molecule: non-coding RNA, 578 nt
Organism: Oryzias latipes (Japanese medaka)
Lineage: Eukaryota; Metazoa; Chordata; Actinopteri; Beloniformes; Adrianichthyidae
Source: RefSeq, a predicted model, not a curated record